RNAcentral lists this ribosomal RNA (301 nucleotides) under uncultured bacterium. RNAcentral's name for it is "partial 16S ribosomal RNA". It matches the Rfam family "Bacterial small subunit ribosomal RNA", at positions 509 to 807 of the family's 1533-position model. The record is from RNAcentral.
CAGCAGCCGCGGGAAUACGAAGGGGGCUAGCGUUGUUCGGAUUUACUGGGCGUAAAGGGCGCGUAGGCGGAUUUGUAAGUCAGGGGUGAAAUCCCGAGGCUCAACCUCGGAACUGCCUUUGAUACUGUGGAUCUUGAGUCCGGGAGAGGUGAGUGGAACUGCGAGUGUAGAGGUGAAAUUCGUAGAUAUUCGCAAGAACACCAGUGGCGAAGGCGGCUCACUGGCCCGGAACUGACGCUGAGGCGCGAAAGCGUGGGGAGCAAACAGGAUUAGAUACCCCUGUAGUCCCUGUCUCUUAUAC